This is a non-coding RNA of Bemisia tabaci, 1483 nucleotides long. Lineage: Eukaryota; Metazoa; Arthropoda; Insecta; Hemiptera; Aleyrodidae. The record is from RefSeq and is a predicted model, not a curated record.
AUUAGUACUUUCAAUAUGUAAAACUCGCCAACUGCCCAUUUAAUCGAAAUAUGACCGUCCGCAAUCGCGGAAGCAGAGGAAACUUUUACAGCGCUUCGUCGGUCACUAUAGACAGGAUUUGAUAUGGGUGAUUCUCGGGGCAGUUUUAUUUCUAGUGAGCGGCUACUAUACCCUCCAACAUUUCGGAUACACCCGGUUCUCGCUGGAUAAAUUUCCCGACAGAAUCACCUCAGGAGUUCUGAAAGGAUGGUUGGCUAUCGUCAAUGCUUGUGUAUUCAUAAUAGAUGCUAUGAUGGGGCUUGAUAUAAUUUAAAAUGACCGAAAAAAUGUAAUAUAAUUCAAAAACAGAUUUAUACAAAAACUAUUCAAAAAAUUUAGGAGGCACAUCACUCUGAGACAAUGCAGAUAAAAAUACCGCUGGAAUUAUUCAGUGAUCAUAGUUGAUUUUAAAAUGUUGCCUUAAUUUUUUAAUCAUCGGCACACUCCUGCCUCCUGAUGACGAAUAAAAAUGGUGUUCUUGAAAGUAAAGGGAUAACAAGUAUUAUUACGUAGCAAUUAGUAUACAAUCAACUGAAUUAUUGUAUAUUUCUGGCAGAGGGACUAAACAAUCGGUACAAACGUUUCUGCUUCAUGAAAUUGGACUACAUUUUGCAAUUAGUAACUAUAAAUUCCGGCCUGGCUCAGAAACAACGCAUGUGCUAUUAGUUUCCCUAUGCACAUACGUGUUUUUUCAGAUGAGACAGAAUUUAUGGCUGCAAAUUGCAAAAUGCUGUCCAAUUAUUUAAAGUAUAUUUUUCACGAGCGGAAGCUGCGUACCAGUGCUACGAAAAAUCUUCAUUAGAGUCAUAGAGUCAAAACGGAAGAAAAACCAACAGCAGAAAAAUAAUAUUUUUGAACUUAUAAAGAUUUGAGCCAAAUAUUAUACAUCCGUCAUACAAACAGUGUCAAAAUCCGUAUUAUAAUCAUUUAUACGAUUUUCGCACUGAUUCAAACUAACCUUUUCUCUGGGAAAUGUCGCAGUCACCCUGACUUGUCGUUAAUAAUAAAUUUCAUUGGUUCGUAAAUUGUAAGUGAAGUAUUCAUCUGAUUUUUUUCAAAUUAUCGAUGAGCUAUCUUCAUUACUUCUGUCUUUGACAUAUUUAGGAAUCAUUACUAGUAUAGGGGUAGACAAAUUCUGUAUUGUUAGGUAUUUUGACUUCUAUGAGCAUCCGUAAUAGAAAAAAAGAAAUGAGUGAUUUCUAUUGAGAUAUCGUAAAGAUAAAAGAUGACACCUUUGAAAAGAGGAGCUUUAAUUAUUACAAAAAGGAAGAUAGAGAAAGGAGCAAUGAACGCAAAGGAAAAGAAUGAGGGAAAAAUGCAUGAACUUAAUUUGCUAAAAACGAUACGUAUUUGAACACGUGUUAGGAGGCAAUGAAAAUCGAAUUUAUACUGUAUCAUAAAAAUACUGAAUAUUUUAAUUAAAUAAAACUGUUGCAUCUAUGAA